This 443-nucleotide ribosomal RNA is filed under the name uncultured bacterium. RNAcentral's name for it is "bacterial SSU rRNA". It matches the Rfam family "Bacterial small subunit ribosomal RNA", at positions 28 to 453 of the family's 1533-position model. The record is from RNAcentral.
GAUGAACGCUGGCGGCGUGCUUAACACAUGCAAGUCGAGCGAAGCACUUAUCAUUGACUCUUCGGAGGAUAUGAUAUUUGACUGAGCGGCGGACGGGUGAGUAACGCGUGGGUAACCUGCCUCAUACAGGGGAAUAACAGUUAGAAAUGGCUGCUAAUGCCGCAUAAGCGCACAGGACCGCAUGGUCUGGUGUGAAAAACUGAGGUGGUAUGAGAUGGACCCGCGUCUGAUUAGGUAGUUGGUGGGGUAACGGCCUACCAAGCCGACGAUCAGUAGCCGGCCUGAGAGGGUGAACGGCCACAUUGGGACUGAGACACGGCCCAGACUCCUACGGGAGGCAGCAGUGGGGAAUAUUGCACAAUGGGGGAAACCCUGAUGCAGCGACGCCGCGUGAAGGAAGAAGUAUCUCGGUAUGUAAACUUCUAUCAGCAGGGAAGAAAAUG